Molecule: ribosomal RNA, 537 nt
Filed under: Ornithoctona erythrocephala
Lineage: Eukaryota; Metazoa; Arthropoda; Insecta; Diptera; Hippoboscidae
Description: partial small subunit ribosomal RNA
Rfam family: Bacterial large subunit ribosomal RNA
Source: RNAcentral
GACCUGCCCACUGAAUAAUUAAAUGGCCGCAGUAUACUAACUGUGCAAAGGUAGCAUAAUCAUUAGUCUUUUAAUUGAAGGCUUGUAUGAAUGGUUGGACGAAAUAUUAACUGUUUCAUAGAAAUUUUUUAUAGAAUUUUAUUUUUUAGUUAAAAAGCUAAAAUAUAUUUAAAAGACGAGAAGACCCUAUAAAUCUUUAUAUUUAUUUUUAUAUUAAAUUUAUAGAUGAUUUUUUUUAAUAUAAUUGAGAAUAUUUUAUUGGGGUGAUAUUAAAAUUUAUAAAACUUUUAAUUUAUAAAUACAUAAAUUAAUGAAUUUUUGAUCCAUUAUUAGUGAUUAAAAAAUUAAGUUACUUUAGGGAUAACAGCGUAAUUUUUUUGGAGAGUUCAAAUUGAUAAAAAAGAUUGCGACCUCGAUGUUGGAUUAAGGUAUAAUUUUGGGUGCAGAAGUUCAAAUUUUAAGUCUGUUCGACUUUUAAAUUCUUACAUGAUCUGAGUUCAGACCGGCGUAAGCCAGGUUGGUUUCUAUCUUUAAAAA